AAUUGAUGACUUAUGUCGCACAGCGGCAGUCGAGACGAAUAAAUUCGAUUGUCAGUCCUCCUGAUUAGCCGUCCUGAAAAGUUGCUUCGUCGAAACCCGGAGCUGACAAGAUCACUGUGUACCUCGUCAGAAUGCCUUCGGGAACCACCUUCUUGCACAGACUGGGAAGGAUGUGGAGGUUUUUGACGAGUCCUGUUGUCAAUCAAUGUGAGACUGAACAUCGACAAGGCGCAGGAGAAACAGAAGGAGAGCUACCGGGGGAGAAUCAAGAAGGGGAAGUAAGAAGGGCAAGUACUUCGACAUCUGGGCAAAUUACUUGGGUUUGGAAGAAGGACGAAAGGAAGGCAAGACUUGGGGGAACCUAGCUGCUUUUUCGCUCCUAGCUGGAGUCACCAUCUGUUAAGGGUUACCUUGGUGGAAGCUAACAACCUUCUCCAGUUGGACGGUCGACCACCGAAAGCCCUGAUGUCCUGCACUUCAGUGAAGCCCAUUAGACAAAGACCAUCGACUGUCCGAGCACCCCAGGAGGUAUCCCAUCCACCAGAGCCAGUGAGUUCAGAUCAGUCUGGUUCUCUGAGUCAGAAGGGUACCAGCCUGAUGUCCUCCAUUACCAACCACUCUCCAACUUUUCAUUACAUCUGCUACAGCUACUGUUGUUGUCAUUAUCUUCUAAGAAAGUAUUCGUGCGCUAUCAUGCUGGGCACAUAUGUGCAAUACACAGAUUAACUAACUAAAAACACUCCGAACAAAGAGAGCGCAGCAGUGACUGGACUUUGUAGUCUCCCUCUUCAAGUCCCCCUUCUGAGACUGGCUGCCUGUCGUGAACAAGUGACAGGCAGAACCUCCCACCCACACAGCAACCACCUCCUUUAUAUUCCACACACCAAAAUUCUGUAUUUUAGUUUUUGAUUGCCAUGAGUGUACAAAAAAAUCUGUGAAAAAUAUUAGUGCCACAACUGUACCAAAAGAAUAUCAAUGUUUAUGUAUUAAAAUCUGUAAUAUUGCCAGGUUGGUUUUCACAGCUGUUUCACAAGGUGUUAAUUGUAAGGUAUCCCUUGAUGGUAUUUAUUAGUUCCACAUUACUUAUUGUUGUGUCCUAGGAUCUACUAUAUAUAUAUAUAUAUAUAUAUAUA
Long non-coding RNA from Oncorhynchus tshawytscha (Chinook salmon), 1133 nucleotides. RefSeq lists it as uncharacterized. The transcript is spliced from 5 exons. Lineage: Eukaryota; Metazoa; Chordata; Actinopteri; Salmoniformes; Salmonidae. The record is from RefSeq and is a predicted model, not a curated record.